Molecule: ribosomal RNA, 445 nt
Filed under: uncultured bacterium
Lineage: Bacteria
Description: bacterial SSU rRNA
Rfam family: Bacterial small subunit ribosomal RNA
Source: RNAcentral
UUCCAGACUCCUACGGGAGGCAGCAGUGGGGAAUAUUGCACAAUGGGGGAAACCCUGAUGCAGCGAUGCCGCGUGGAGGAAGAAGGUUUUCGGAUUGUAAACUCCUUUUAUCAGGGACGAUAAUGACGGUACCUGACUAAGAAGCCCCGGCUAACUACGUGCCAGCAGCCGCGGUAAUACGUAGGGGGCAAGCGUUAUCCGGAUUUAUUGGGUUUAAAGGGUGCGCAGGCGGCCUGUUAAGUCAGCGGUCAACGCCGGGGGCCCCCCCCCGCCCCGCCGUUGAAACUGGCAGUCUCGAGUUGGAGAGAAGUAUGCGGAAUGCGCGGUGUAGCGGUGAAAUGCAUAGAUAUCGCGCAGAACUCCGAUUGCGAAGGCAGCAUGCCGGCUCCACACUGACGCUGAGGCACGAAAGCGUGGGUAUCGAACAGGAUUAGAUACCCGUGUA